RNAcentral lists this transfer RNA (73 nucleotides) under Loxodonta africana (African savanna elephant). It matches the Rfam family "tRNA". Rfam says of the family: Transfer RNA (tRNA) molecules are approximately 80 nucleotides in length. Their secondary structure includes four short double-helical elements and three loops (D, anti-codon, and T loops). Further hydrogen bonds mediate the characteristic L-shaped molecular structure. tRNAs have two regions of fundamental functional importance: the anti-codon, which is responsible for specific mRNA codon recognition, and the 3' end, to which the tRNAs corresponding amino acid is attached (by aminoacyl-tRNA synthetases). tRNAs cope with the degeneracy of the genetic code in two manners: having more than one tRNA (with a specific anti-codon) for a particular amino acid; and 'wobble' base-pairing, i.e. permitting non-standard base-pairing at the 3rd anti-codon position. The record is from Rfam by way of RNAcentral. Lineage: Eukaryota; Metazoa; Chordata; Mammalia; Proboscidea; Elephantidae.
GCAGCGGUGGUUCAGUUGGUAGAAUUCUUGUCUUCCAUGGCAGGAGAUCUGGGUUCAAUUCUCGGCCAGCGCA